This 482-nucleotide ribosomal RNA is filed under the name uncultured bacterium. RNAcentral describes it as "partial 16S ribosomal RNA". It matches the Rfam family "Bacterial small subunit ribosomal RNA", at positions 30 to 507 of the family's 1533-position model. The record is from RNAcentral.
AUUGAACGCUGGCGGCAUGCUUUACACAUGCAAGUCGAACGGUAACAGGCCGCAAGGUGCUGACGAGUGGCGAACGGGUGAGUAAUGCAUCGGAACGCGCCCAGUCGUGGGGGAUAACUACUCGAAAGAGUAGCUAAUACCGCAUACGAUCUAUGGAUGAAAGCGGGGGACCGUAAGGCCUCGCGCGAUUGGAGCGGCCGAUGUCAGAUUAGGUAGUUGGUGGGGUAAAGGCUCACCAAGCCAACGAUCUGUAGCUGGUCUGAGAGGACGACCAGCCACACUGGGACUGAGACACGGCCCAGACUCCCACGGGAGGCAGCAGUGGGGAAUUUUGGACAAUGGGCGCAAGCCUGAUCCAGCAAUGCCGCGUGCAGGAAGAAGGCCUUCGGGUUGUAAACUGCUUUUGUACGGAACGAAACGGCUCUGGUUAAUACCCGGGGCUAAUGACGGUACCGUAAGAAUAAGCACCGGCUAACUACGUG